UGCCAUGGGCUCGAGCCCACACUCGGCACCUUCAAUAGACUCUGUUGCCAUUUCAACAGGACAUUGCCAGCUCCAACCAUCGCAAAGUUCGUUUGAGCCCCGCACUGCGCCUUUCCUUCCGCUGGUGGACCAAGGUUCAACACCUCUCCAAGGGCACGUCGUUCAGAGAACCCCGCAGAACCAUUGUAACCACAGAUGCCAGCCUCAUCGGUUGGGGAGCCCACUGCAACUCCCAGUACGUUCAGGGGGCUUGGUCCACCGCAUAGCAAACUCAAAGCAUCAACUGGCUGGAGCUAAAGGCUGUCCACUUAGCUCUACGUCAUUUUCAGUCUCUGUUCCCUUUGGACCAUGUGCUCAUUCGAACAGACAACACGUGUGUAAAAUCACAUUUGAACAGACAGGGGGGCACCAGGUCUCGUCCUCUGCAGGACUUAGCCUCCCUCAUCUUUGUCUGGGCAGAACAACAUCUACAAUCCCUGAAAGCAGAACAUCUCAGAGGGAUUUGGAAUGUGACAGCAGACUGGCUCAGCAGACAACAGGUCUUUCCGGGAGAAUGGAAACUUCAUCCAGCCAUUUUCCAUCGUCUCCAGUGUUGGUUCGGCGUCCUCUCAGUCGACCUGUUUGCUUCCAGUCGCAAUUGCCAGCUUCCCAGGUACUUUGCCCGAUACCUGGACUCAACAGCAGAAGCAGUGGAUGCUCUGACAACACCGUGGCCAGACGGUCUAUUGUACGCCUUUCCUCCCAUACCAUUGUUAGCCAAAACCUUGAGGAAGGUGCGAACCGAGAGGGCACAGCUGGUUCUGAUAGCACCAUUUUGGCCACGCCGACCGUGGUUCUCAGAUCUUCUGGCAAUGUCAAUGAUGGAUCCUUGGACACUUCCAGUCAGGCCAGACCUCCUAUCCCAGGGUCCAGUACUGCACCAGGACCCUACUUGGCUCAAUCUAACAGCGUGGCGUUUGAACGGGGACAUUUGAGGUCAGCUGGACUGUCUGACGCUGUGAUUGAUAUUAUUUUAGCCUCGAGAAGACCAUCUACCACUCGUAUUUAUCAACAUACCUGGGUGGCUUUCUCCAAGUGGUGUCAGUCCCACCACCAUGAUCCAUCCCAGGCCACUGUGCAUCAGGUGCUGCAAUUUCUCCAUAGCGGCUUUAUGAUGGGACUUCGACCCAACACUCUACGUCGACAUGCGUCCACUCUGUCGUCCAUUCUCUCAGUGUCCUCUCCUGGAGCUCCUAUGUCCUCACAUCCGUUCAUCAAACGUUUUUUGAGGGGAGUCGCCCUACGCUCUCCAGCUCUUGUCCAUCGGUUCCCCUCAUGGAGUUUGCCGAAAGUUCUGCAGGCUUUGCAACGCCCUCCGUUUGAACCCAUCAGGACUGUGCCCCUACGUAUGCUGUCCUUCAAGGUCUUGUUUCUGAUCGCAAUCACAUCUGCCAGACGCGUUUCGGAGUUGGGCGCAUUGUCUUCUGCUCGACACCUCUGCGUCUUCCAUAAGGACUCUGUUGUGCUGAAGACUGAUCCUUCCUUCCGUCCCAAGGUCGAUUCAGUUUUUCAUUGCAACCAGGACAUUGUUUUGCCUUCCUUUUGCCCGAAUCCUACCCAUCCUCUCGAGAAGGCUUGGCAUUCGUUAGAUGUCCGGAGGGCUCUCAAGACCUACCUGUCUAGGACCCAAGAGAUUCGACGAAUGGAGUCUCUGUUUGUAUCCUUUCAUCCAAGGUCUAUGGGGCAUAAAGUAUCCAAUUCUACCUUAUCCCAUUGGUUAAGGGCAUGCAUUACUUUAGCAUAUGAGUCCCUGAAGCUGUCAGUUCCAGCUAGUAUAACGGCUCAUUCUACCAGGUCAGCUGCCACUUCGGCUGCUUUUGCCACUAAUGCUCCUGUUGCCAAUAUUUGUAGGGCUGGUCUACCCCACACUCGUUUAUAAGGCAUUAUGAAAUUGAUCGUCAUGCCUCUGCUGAUGCUUCUUUCGGCAGACGAGUGUUGCAACAGGUUCUUAAUGAGGAUUAACAUGUGGGUGGUCCCUCCCUGUAUGGGCUGCUUUGGUACAUCCCGCAGUGAUGGCCCACCUCCUAUGGAAAAUGUACCAUUGGUCUCACCUGAAAGGUGAUUUUCAUAGGAGUGGGCCAUCACGACCCUCCCAGUUGGAGGAUGACUAGAUAUUUCUAAUGGGUUACAUGUUAUUGUUACGCUAUUAUAUUUAAAUGUAAGAGUGAAGUCAAGAUUUUUAGUUCUGUUAUGUUGUUAUGUUAGAGUCAUGUUGUUAUGCAUGUGACUAUUAUGUUAUUUUCCUGGCGGGCCUGUUGGCCUUGUUCUUGUAUUUUUAGAUAUCUCUUUUUAGACUCUCUAUGAAUGAACUGGAGAGUGGGAGGGGCCUGACGCCCCUAGUCUUGACUUCAAAAACAUUCUUGCCUUCGCACGAUAGGUGGAACUAUUACCCGCAGUGAUGGCCCACUCCUAUGAAAAUCACCUUUCAGGUGAGACCAAUGGUACAUUCUCAAACUGCCCCAUGCCUCCUCUCUUUUUCAGUGUGCCAUGAUUCAACACUUCCUGGGUUAAUUAACCAUAGUUUCUGAUUACAUAUGAACUAACUGUGGUUACCAGGACUGGAACAAACCAGGAUGUUAAACCAAAGUUUGGUGCAGGCUGGCAAACCCGGAAAGGGCUUAGUGGAGGGGGACCUCUGCUCCAUUCAAACCCCUUCCAGCAUGGUGGAUUAGGAGUUUGGAUGGCUCUGUUGCUUACAAAAUUAUGAUUUCAUGCUUAUAGUCUUCAGUCAGUAAGGUGUUUGUUGAAACAUGAAAUCCUUGCUGAAGGAAAUAUGCCAUUAAGAUUCAGAAAUUGCUUUGAAGCAUAGCUGAGUAUUAUGCCAUAGUGUGUUUAGUUGAUGCAUUGGUUUGUGAUGAAAUAUUUAUUGGAUUGUUUUUGCCCUUGAGCUACAAUUGAAAAGUUGUAUAUUAUAGAGAGACAGCAUGCGCAUAGAUGUGGAUGAAAACUACCAGCAUUCAAAAGACAACUUUGACUUUAUAGUGAAGAUUUUGGGGACAACCCACAAGAGAGGUUGUGGCAACCUCAACUGAAAAGAAUGGGAGUUUAAGUGCUGUGGUGGAGAAGAUUUUAAAGACUGGGCAGAAAACCAGUACCAUGACUGUAAUGCCCCAGGACC
Rhineura floridana is the source of this 3157-nucleotide RNA transcript. It is a transcript of the gene named tetraspanin 15, with no coding region annotated. The record is from RefSeq and is a predicted model, not a curated record. Lineage: Eukaryota; Metazoa; Chordata; Lepidosauria; Squamata; Rhineuridae. The transcript has 2 exons.